Esox lucius (northern pike) is the source of this 1176-nucleotide long non-coding RNA. Lineage: Eukaryota; Metazoa; Chordata; Actinopteri; Esociformes; Esocidae. The record is from Ensembl.
ACUGCCUCUACAGCAAGUAGGUUGAAUAUUUUUGUUUGUUUCUUUUUUAUUUAGCUAAAAUAUCAGCUGGGUGGAACUUCCAGCUUAAUUUUGGUAUAUGGACUGAUCCCUCCUGACUGGAUUGGAUUCAUGAUCACCUAGUUGACUACAAAAAUGCAAUGAUAGGUGCUAGAAAGGGAUAAGAUGCUGGAAAGGGACAAUAGGAACAUGUUCUCUUUCUCUAUGGUCCUCUAUGAAGAGAUCACCUUAAACACUGUUUGUUGUGUACAUUCUGAGUUGGUUCAUAUACUUUAAUGAAGGAAUACCAACAUUCUUGUGUAAUCAGAUACAGAAGUAACUUUACGUUUUUGCACAUUUGCUAACUAGUGCUACUUUGAUCCCCAAAACCCCAUUGAGGCCAACUACCAGUAAGCAAUACAUUUGGUUUGCAGUUGCAAUAAUUUCAUUCACACAUAUAAUAUAAAGCUCUCUUUCACCAGAUUCAACCACUUCUUUGACCCCCACGGCAACAAUAUCAGGUUUGACUGCUACUUUGACCCCUGGCACCCCACAGAGUUCAACUGAAAUGACUCUAUUAUGGCUUGCUGCAGUGGGUGUGGGUUCCGGAGUGGGCAUAUUCCUGGUGGGACUGACCGCUGUCUGUCUAUGUAUGAAGACCAAAAGAGACACAUCUCAGAGACCUCAAGCCCAACAAGACGAUCAUUACCAACGAAUUGUGAUGGGAACCAAAAGGACGGGAAGCAUGGUGGAUUCAGGGAAUGAGGGGCUUUGUUCUCUCAUCCCCUCUGAAGCAUCCACGUUCAUACUCUCAGGUCCUGUUGGAGAGAACGGAGAAACAUCUGAAUAUGUUAAUCCUGAUAUAUACCAUGUCUACUCUUCAAUCCCGAACAGACCAGCAGUCUCGGGCCAUAAGGACAACAUCACUGGCUUUCUGUAGAUACAGUCUUGUGUACAGUUAUGUUUUAUUUUUGCUCUUUAUUCAAUCUCUUUGUAUUUGAAAUAAAACAAUGACAGUGGUGUAAAAAUAUAGUAUUAUUGUAUUAGGUGAACAAUAGAAAAAUCACAGAAUGGUUUGUACAUAUUUUCCCAUAGGGAGCCAUGUGUAUUUCGGCAGUUGUCUUCAAAGCUGAUUCUUAUUAGAUUGUUUUUGAUUGCUUGCAAUAAAAUUGACUGCCC